GAUGAACGCUGGCGGCGUGCCUAAUACAUGCAAGUCGAGCGAACAGACGAGGAGCUUGCUCCUCUGACGUUAGCGGCGGACGGGUGAGUAACACGUGGAUAACCUACCUAUAAGACUGGGAUAACUUCGGGAAACCGGAGCUAAUACCGGAUAAUAUAUUGAACCGCAUGGUUCAAUAGUGAAAGACGGUUUUGCUGUCACUUAUAGAUGGAUCCGCGCCGCAUUAGAUAGUUGGUAAGGUAACGGCUUACCAAGGCGACGAUGGGUAGCCGACCUGAGAGGGUGAUCGGCCACACUGGAACUGAGACACGGUCAAGACUCCUACGGGAGGCAGCAGUAGGGAAUCUUCCGCAAUGGGCGAAAGCCUGACGGAGCAACGCCGCGUGAGUGAUGAAGGUCUUCGGAUCGUAAAACUCUGUUAUUAGGGAAGAACAAAUGUGUAAGUAACUAUGCACGUCUUGACGGUACCUAAUCAGAAAGCCACGGCUAACUACGUG
This 497-nucleotide ribosomal RNA is filed under the name uncultured bacterium. RNAcentral's name for it is "partial 16S ribosomal RNA". It matches the Rfam family "Bacterial small subunit ribosomal RNA", at positions 28 to 507 of the family's 1533-position model. The record is from RNAcentral.